UUCGAGCGUCAUUACAACCCUCAAGCUCUGCUUGGUAUUGGGCGUCACCGUCUCCGGUGCGCCUUAAAAUCAGUGGCGGUGCCAUUAGGCUUCAAGCGUAGUAAUUCUUCUCGCUCUGGAGUUCUGGUGUAUGCUUGCCAACAACCCCUAAUUUUAUCAAGGUUGACCUCGGAUCAGGUAGGGAUACCCGCUGAACUUAA
Molecule: unclassified non-coding RNA, 200 nt
Filed under: soil metagenome
Description: partial contains internal transcribed spacer 2 and large subunit ribosomal RNA
Source: RNAcentral